RNAcentral lists this unclassified non-coding RNA (348 nucleotides) under soil metagenome. Its description in RNAcentral is "partial contains 5.8S ribosomal RNA, internal transcribed spacer 2, and large subunit ribosomal RNA". The stretch from base 1 to 120 matches the Rfam family "5.8S ribosomal RNA", at positions 35 to 154 of the family's 154-position model. The record is from RNAcentral.
GAUGAAGAACGUAGCUAAAUGCGAUAAGUAAUGUGAAUUGCAGAAUUCAGUGAAUCAUCGAGUCUUUGAACGCACAUUGCGCCCCCUGGUAUUCCGGGGGGCAUGCCUGUCCGAGCGUCAUUGCUGCCCUCAAGCACGGCUUGUGUGUUGGGCCCCCGCCCCCCGGCUUCGGGGGGCGGGCCCGAAAGGCAGCGGCGGCACCGCGUCCGGUCCUCGAGCGUAUGGGGCUUCGUCACCCGCUCUGUAGGCCCGGCCGGCGCCCGCCGGCGACCCCAAUCAAUCUUUCCAGGUUGACCUCGGAUCAGGUAGGGAUACCCGCUGAACUUAAGCAUAUCAAUAAGCGGAGGA